RNAcentral lists this ribosomal RNA (253 nucleotides) under uncultured Eubacteriales bacterium. RNAcentral describes it as "uncultured Clostridiales bacterium partial 16S ribosomal RNA". It matches the Rfam family "Bacterial small subunit ribosomal RNA", at positions 524 to 776 of the family's 1533-position model. The record is from RNAcentral. Lineage: Bacteria; Bacillati; Bacillota; Clostridia; Eubacteriales.
UACGUAGGGAGCAAGCGUUAUCCGGAUUUAUUGGGUGUAAAGGGUGCGUAGACGGGAAUUUAAGUUAGUUGUGAAAUCCCUCGGCUUAACUGAGGAACUGCAACUAAAACUGAAUUUCUUGAGUGCGGGAGAGGAAAGUGGAAUUCCUAGUGUAGCGGUGAAAUGCAUAGAUAUCACGCAGAACUCCGAUUGCGAAGGCAGCAUACCGGCGCUCAACUGACGCUCAUGCACGAAAGUGUGGGUAUCGAACAGG